AGACACACUUAACCAACUGGGCCACCCAGGCACCCUUCAGUUCACGUGACAUACCUUGGGAAAUUUUCAAGUCAAGCAGAUCGUCCCAACCUGCUUCAGACCACGGGUCAGCCAAAGAAAAGGUAAAAGCAGAAACCCCUGAGGGCUGAAUAGCCCAAAGACUGUGAUUUCUCUGUGGGGAAGGGUUUCAAAAAAGAUGGAGAGAGAAUGAAACGCCUAAUUUUACUACACGCUAAUGUUGGGCGGCUACCUGGCAUGGAGAGCAAAGCAUGCGCCUGCGGGUAGCUGUACAGAUUACUUUGAGGGGG
This is a long non-coding RNA of Mustela erminea (ermine), 308 nucleotides long. RefSeq lists it as uncharacterized. The transcript is spliced from 2 exons. The record is from RefSeq and is a predicted model, not a curated record. Lineage: Eukaryota; Metazoa; Chordata; Mammalia; Carnivora; Mustelidae.